Molecule: ribosomal RNA, 467 nt
Filed under: uncultured bacterium
Lineage: Bacteria
Description: partial 16S ribosomal RNA
Rfam family: Bacterial small subunit ribosomal RNA
Source: RNAcentral
ACGCACGCUGGCGGCGUGCUUAACCCAUGCCAGUCGAACGGAAAGGCCCUGCUUUUGUGGGGUGCUCGAGUGGCGAACGGGUGAGUAACACGUGAGUAACCUGCCCUUGACUUUGGGAUAACUUCAGGAAACUGGGGCUAAUACCGGAUAGGAGCUCCUGCUGCAUGGUGGGGGUUGGAAAGUUUCGGCGGUUGGGGAUGGACUCGCGGCUUAUCAGCUUGUUGGUGGGGUAGUGGCUUACCAAGGCUUUGACGGGUAGCCGGCCUGAGAGGGUGACCGGCCACAUUGGGACUGAGAUACGGCCCAGACUCCUACGGGAGGCAGCAGUGGGGAAUAUUGCACAAUGGGCGGAAGCCUGAUGCAGCAACGCCGCGUGCGGGAUGACGGCCUUCGGGUUGUAAACCGCUUUCGCCUGUGACGAAGCGUGAGUGACGGUAAUGGGUAAAGAAGCACCGGCUAACUACGUG